CAGUAGCCACGGUAAUACGAAGGGGGCUAGCGUUGUUCGGAUUUACUGGGCGUAAAGCGCACGUAGGCGGAUCGAUCAGUCAGGGGUGAAAUCCCAGAGCUCAACUCUGGAACUGCCUUUGAUACUGUCGAUCUGGAGUAUGGAAGGGGUGAGUGGAAUUCCGAGUGUAGAGGUGAAAUUCGUAGAUAUUCGCAAGAACACCAGUGGCGAAGGCGGCUCACUGGCCCGAUACUGACGCUGAGGCACGAAAGCGUGGGGAGCAAACAGGAUUAGAGACCCGCGUAGUCCCUGUCUCUUAUAC
RNAcentral lists this ribosomal RNA (301 nucleotides) under uncultured bacterium. RNAcentral describes it as "partial 16S ribosomal RNA". It matches the Rfam family "Bacterial small subunit ribosomal RNA", at positions 509 to 807 of the family's 1533-position model. The record is from RNAcentral.